RNAcentral lists this ribosomal RNA (432 nucleotides) under uncultured bacterium. Its description in RNAcentral is "partial 16S ribosomal RNA". It matches the Rfam family "Bacterial small subunit ribosomal RNA", at positions 29 to 506 of the family's 1533-position model. The record is from RNAcentral.
AACGAACGCUGGCGGCAUGCCUAACACAUGCAAGUCGAACGAGACCUUCGGGUCUAGUGGCGCACGGGUGCGUAACGCGUGGGAACCUGCCCUUAGGUUCGGAAUAACUCCCCGAAAGGGGUGCUAAUACCGGAUAAUGUCUUCGGACCAAAGAUUUAUCGCCUUUGGAUGGGCCCGCGUUGGAUUAGCUAGUUGGUAGGGUAAAAGCCUACCAAGGCGACGAUCCAUAGCUGGUCUGAGAGGAUGAUCAGCCACACUGGGACUGGGACACGGCCCAGACUCCUACGGGAGGCAGCAGUGGGGAAUAUUGGACAAUGGGCGAAAGCCUGAUCCAGCAGUGCCGCGUGAGUGAUGAAGGCCUUAGGGCUGUAAAGCUCUUUUACCCGGGAUGAUAAUGACAGUACCGGGAGAAUAAGCUCCGGCUAACUCCGU